This 301-nucleotide ribosomal RNA is filed under the name uncultured bacterium. RNAcentral's name for it is "partial 16S ribosomal RNA". It matches the Rfam family "Bacterial small subunit ribosomal RNA", at positions 509 to 809 of the family's 1533-position model. The record is from RNAcentral.
CAGUAGCCGCGGGAAUACAGAGGGUGCAAGCGUUAAUCGGAAUUACUGGGCGUAAAGCGCGCGUAGGUGGUUUGUUAAGUCGGAUGUGAAAUCCCCGGGCUCAACCUGGGAACUGCAUCCCAAACUGGCAAGCUAGAGUAUGGUAGAGGGUAGUGGAAUUUCCUGUGUAGCGGUGAAAUGCGUAGAUAUAGGAAGGAACACCAGUGGCGAAGGCGACUACCUGGACUGAUACUGACACUGAGGUGCGAAAGCGUGGGGAGCAAACAGGAUUAGAUACCCCUGUAGUCCCUGUCUCUUAUAA